Molecule: ribosomal RNA, 442 nt
Filed under: uncultured bacterium
Lineage: Bacteria
Description: partial 16S ribosomal RNA
Rfam family: Bacterial small subunit ribosomal RNA
Source: RNAcentral
CCUACGGGAGGCAGCAGUGGGGAAUAUUGGGCAAUGGGCGCAAGCCUGACCCAGCAACGCCGCGUGAAGGAAGAAGGCUCUCGGGUUGGAAACCUCUUUUGACAGGGAAGAGUAGAAGACGGUACCUGACGAAUAAGCCACGGCUAACUACGUGCCAGCAGCCGCGGCAAUACGUAGGUGGCAAGUGUUGUCCGGAUUUACUGGGUUUAAAGGGAGUGUAGGCGGGUUGACAAGUCAGUUGUGAAAUCCUGCGGCUUAACCGCAGAACUGCAUUUGAUACUGUUGAUCUUGAGUACUGGAGAGGCAGAUGGAAUUCCUAGUGUAGCGGUGAAAUGCGUAGAUAUUAGGAGGAACACCGGUGGCGAAGGCGGUCUACUGGACUGCAACUGACGGUGAGGCGCGAAAGCGUGGGGAGCAAACAGGAUUAGAUACCCCUGUAGUC